This 775-nucleotide ribosomal RNA is filed under the name uncultured Neocallimastigales. RNAcentral's name for it is "partial large subunit ribosomal RNA". It matches the Rfam family "Eukaryotic large subunit ribosomal RNA", at positions 22 to 616 of the family's 3401-position model. The record is from RNAcentral. Lineage: Eukaryota; Fungi; Neocallimastigomycota; Neocallimastigomycetes; Neocallimastigales.
CUAUACAUGACUCUGCGCAUAUCAAUAAGCGGAGGAAAAGGAAACUAACAAGGAUUCCCCUAGUAACGGCGAGUGAAGCGGGAAGAGCUCAAAUUUGAAAUCUUAAAGGGUUUCCCUUUACGAAUUGUAGUUUAAAGAAGUGUUUUCUGUUGAGGUUUUGGUAAAAGUUCUUUGGAAUAGGACAUCAUAGAGGGUGAGAAUCCCGUAUUUGACCUUUACUUUCAACUUUGUGAUACACUUUCAAAGAGUCGGAUUGUUUGGGAAUGCAGUCCAAAAUGGGUGGUAAAUUUCAUCUAAAGCUAAAUAUUGGCGAGAGACCGAUAGCGAACAAGUACCGUGAGGGAAAGAUGAAAAGAACUUUGAAAAGAGAGUUAAACAGUACGUGAAAUUGUCAAAAGGGAAGCGUUUGACACCAGUGUUGUUUUUCUGAAAAUCAAUUAAAGAACUGUUUAUGCUAAGUUGAUUAGACUUUAUCAGCUAACUGUUUAGUUUUGAGCUUUUCUUUAAUGCACUUUUCAGUUAACAAGUCAACAUCAAUUUCUUUUGCUGUAAAAAAGCUUGAGGAAGGUGGCUUGAGAUUCGUCUUAAGUGUUUAUAGCCUCUUGCCUAUGCAGUCGGAGAGAUUGAGGUCUGCAGCGUAGAUCCUUCGGGGCUAAAUGCAUUUGUGCUAAGUUAUAGCAUUUUAUAGACAACUUGUUGACUAUGAUUUGUCUUGUAGCUUACUCGCUUAUGUUAUUUUACCUACGCUUAGGAUGUUGAGCGCAUGUCUCUCUCU